Molecule: ribosomal RNA, 460 nt
Filed under: uncultured bacterium
Lineage: Bacteria
Description: partial 16S ribosomal RNA
Rfam family: Bacterial small subunit ribosomal RNA
Source: RNAcentral
CCUACGGGAGUCAGUAGUGAGGAAUAUUGGUCAAUGGGCGCGAGCCUGAACCAGCCAAGUAGCGUGAAGGAUGACUGCCCUACGGGUUGUAAACUUCUUUUAUAAAGGAAUAAAGUGAGGCACGUGUGCCUUUUUGUAUGUACUUUAUGAAUAAGGAUCGGCUAAUUCCGUGCCAGCAGCCGCGGUAAUACGGAGGGUCCGAGCAUUAUCCGGAUGUAUUGGGUUUAAAGGGAGCGUAGAUGGGUUGUUAAGUCAGUUGUGAAAGGUUGCGGCUCAACCGUACAAUUGCAAUUGAUACUGGCAGCCUUGAGUCCAGUUGAGGUAGGCGGAAUUCGUGGUGUAGCGGUGAAAUGCUUAGAUAUCACGAAGAACUCCGAUUGCGAAGGCAGCUUACUGAACUGCCACUGACAUUGAGGCUCGAAAGUGUGGGUAUCAAACAGGAUUAGAUACCCCAGUAGUC